UACGUAGGGUGCGAGCGUUAAUCGGAAUUACUGGGCGUAAAGCGUGCGCAGGCGGUUCGUUGUGUCGGCGGUGAAAGCCCCGGGCUCAACCUGGGAACUGCAUUUGAAACUGGCGGGCUUGAGUGUGGCAGAGGGGGGUGGAAUUCCGCGUGUAGCAGUGAAAUGCGUAGAGAUGCGGAGGAACACCGAUGGCGAAGGCAGCCCCCUGGGCCAACACUGACGCUCAGGCACGAAAGCGUGGGGAGCAAACAGG
RNAcentral lists this ribosomal RNA (253 nucleotides) under uncultured bacterium. RNAcentral describes it as "partial 16S ribosomal RNA". It matches the Rfam family "Bacterial small subunit ribosomal RNA", at positions 524 to 776 of the family's 1533-position model. The record is from RNAcentral.